Molecule: long non-coding RNA, 211 nt
Filed under: Homo sapiens (human)
Lineage: Eukaryota; Metazoa; Chordata; Mammalia; Primates; Hominidae
Description: HSALNT0015457
Source: RNAcentral
GACCUCCCCUCGAAAGUGGGCCUUGAAGAGCUCCUGUAGGCAGGAAGCAAGGACAGACAGCUGCUCCGAGUCAAAGUCUUCCUCACCUUUGCUGUUGAGAUCCUCUUCAUCGUCACUGAAGGCUGCCUCUGCAUUGUCAUAGCAACUCUCAUCCUUAUCCGACAUAUGGUUGUCCAUCUCCAUGGAAACUGGCUCCUCAAUUUUGACUUGG